CGAGGACGAACGCUGGCGGCGUGCCUAACACAUGCAAGUCGAACGGAGUCAGAAAGCUUGCUUUUGACUAGUGGCGGACGGGUGAGUAACGCGUGAGUAACCUGCCUCUGAGAGGGGAAUAACGUUCUGAAAAGAACGCUAAUACCGCAUAACGUAUCGAAGCCGCAUGACUUUGAUACCAAAGAUUUUAUCGCUCGGAGAUGGACUCGCGUCCGAUUAGUUAGUUGGUGAGGUAACGGCUCACCAAGACCGCGAUCGGUAGCCGGACUGAGAGGUUGAUCGGCCACAUUGGGACUGAGACACGGCCCAGACUCCUACGGGAGGCAGCAGUGGGGGAUAUUGCGCAAUGGGGGCAACCCUGACGCCAGCAACGCCGCGUGAAGGAUGAAGGUUUUCGGAUUGUAAACUUCUUUUAUCAGGGACGAAGCUUGACGGUACCUGAUGAAUAAGCUCCGGCUAACUACGUGCCAGCCGCAGC
Molecule: ribosomal RNA, 478 nt
Filed under: uncultured bacterium
Lineage: Bacteria
Description: bacterial SSU rRNA
Rfam family: Bacterial small subunit ribosomal RNA
Source: RNAcentral